RNAcentral lists this ribosomal RNA (228 nucleotides) under uncultured bacterium. RNAcentral describes it as "partial 16S ribosomal RNA". It matches the Rfam family "Bacterial small subunit ribosomal RNA", at positions 112 to 334 of the family's 1533-position model. The record is from RNAcentral.
CGGACGUAGGUAACCUGCCUUGUAGCGGGGGAGUAACUAUUGGAAACGAUAGCUAAUACCGCAUAACAAUGGAUGACACAUGUCAUUUAUUUGAAAGGGGCAAAUGCUCCACUACAAGAUGGACCUGCGUUGUAUUAGCUAGUAGGUGAGGUAACGGCUCACCUAGGCGACGAUACAUAGCCGACCUGAGAGGGUGAUCGGCCACACUGGGACUGAGACACGGCCCAG